UGGUGACUGUCAUCCCUUAUCCCCACUUCAGCCAACCACCAGGGUCACCACCAAGCUAUCCUGAGAGUCUCUUGAUUCAUUUGAAUUCUUUUUUAGAGUGGGUUAAAGCAGUGGUCAACAGCUGAUUAUUCUCCACGACCAAGAAAAGAUCCUUCUGAAUUCUCUACCUAUGAAUCCUGAGGUUUUACAGCCUGGCUGGCGGGAACAGAACCUCAAGCUUCAAUUCACUGUCCAGGCCUGAAGAUCCAAGAGGAGCUUCAAGCUGGGACUGCACCUCCAUGGAUCCACCACGGAGUGUUACCACAACUUUGAAUUCUGAUUCCUCCCUGAUUCCAAUCAAAGAAAUGUUCCCAAAAGUUUCAUCAACCUCCCAACCAUCCUUCUCCAAAAUGCAAAACCUAGACCUCAUUAACUUCAACCCCAGUCCUGGAAGCAACUACCUCACCACUCUACCAGACGGGCGGCUCCAACCACACUACAGAGAUGAGAUGACACACCAGGAGACACAGUGGGAAAGGUCAGCAUUCCCUCAGAGGAAAAAGAUUUUCACGGGGAACAUGAGACAGAAAAUCUUCAAUCAUAUGGCACCUUAUUAGGUUGAAAGGAAAGGAAAAACCCCUCCCUUAUGUGAUAAGGAUCAGAAUAGAUAUAAAUGUAAUUACUGCCAGAUGCAUAGGCAGUGUAUCUCUAGUAACCCUAAUGAGCAGAAUCCAUCCUCUUCAAAAAUGCUAGUACAAGGCCUUAGCCGCUUGCCCCUCAGCCCUGGUACCAUACCAGAAGAGCUGCCCCAAGAGCAGUAAACAGAGAAAAGCUAUCACAAGGGGCAGAAGAAAAGCAGAAGAAUUUUCAGAGGCUCCUAAAAUAAUAGUUGCAAUAAAUCUAAGACUCUCAUACUCAUGUGAUGAGAUCAAAAUUGA
Non-coding RNA from Microcebus murinus (gray mouse lemur), 917 nucleotides. The record is from RefSeq and is a predicted model, not a curated record. Lineage: Eukaryota; Metazoa; Chordata; Mammalia; Primates; Cheirogaleidae.